UCCGGAAUGAUGAUGAUUUUAUAACAAUGGCUUUAGUGGCGGACUGGUGAGUGACGCGUAAGCAAUCUGCCUAUUAGAGGGGAAUAACAGUGAGAAAUCAUUGCUAAUACCGCAUAUGCCAUGAGUAUCGCAUGAUACAAUUGGGAAAGGAGUAAUCCGCUAAUAGAUGAGCUUGCGUCUGAUUAACUAGUUGGUGGGGUAACGGCCUACCAAGGUGACGAUCAGUAGCCGGACUGAGAGGUUGAACGGCCACAUUGGGACUGAGAUACGGCCCAGACUCCUACGGGAGGCAGCAGUCGGGAAUAUUGCGCAAUGGAGGAAACUCUGACGCAGUGACGCCGCGUAUAGGAUGAAGGUUUUCGGAUUGUAAACUAUUGUCGUUAGGGAAGAUUUAAGACAGUACCUAAGGAGGAAGCUCCGGCUAACUACGUGCCAGCAGCCGCGGUAAUACGUAGGGAGCAAGCGUUAUCCGGAUUUAUUGGGUGUAAAGGGUGCGUAGACGGGAAGGCAAGUUAGUUGUGAAAUCCCUCGGCUUAACUGAGGAACUGCAACUAAAACUAUCUUUCUUGAGUGCAGGAGAGGAAAGAGGAAUUCCUAGUGUAGCGGUGAAAUGCGUAGAUAUUAGGAGGAACACCAGUGGCGARGCGUCUUUCUGGACUGUAACUGACGUUGAGGCACGAAAGUGUGGGGAGCAAACAGGAUUAGAUACCCUGGUAGUCCACACCGUAAAACGAUGGAUACUAGGUGUAGGAUGUGUUAAACAUUCUGUGCCGUCGCAAAACGCAGUAAAGUAUCCCCACCUGGGGGAGUACGGCCGCAAAGGUUGAAACUCAAAAGGAAAUUGACGGGGGCCCCGCACAAAGCAGUGGAGUAUGUGGUUUAAAUUCGAAGCAAACGCGAAGAACCUUACCAGGGCUUGACAUAUACAGGAAAUAUAUUAGAGAUAGUAUAGCUUCUUCGGAGUCUGUAUACAGGUGGGUGCAUGGUUGUCGUCAGCUCGUGUCGUGAGAUGUUGGGUUAAGUCCCG
RNAcentral lists this ribosomal RNA (1027 nucleotides) under uncultured bacterium. RNAcentral's name for it is "bacterial SSU rRNA". It matches the Rfam family "Bacterial small subunit ribosomal RNA", at positions 62 to 1089 of the family's 1533-position model. The record is from RNAcentral.